RNAcentral lists this ribosomal RNA (492 nucleotides) under uncultured bacterium. Its description in RNAcentral is "partial 16S ribosomal RNA". It matches the Rfam family "Bacterial small subunit ribosomal RNA", at positions 29 to 507 of the family's 1533-position model. The record is from RNAcentral.
AGUGAACGCUGGCGGUAGGCCUAACACAUGCAAGUCGAACGGCAGCACAGUAAGAGCUUGCUCUUACGGGUGGCGAGUGGCGGACGGGUGAGGAAUACAUCGGAAUCUACUUUUUCGUGGGGGAUAACGUAGGGAAACUUACGCUAAUACCGCAUACGACCUACGGGUGAAAGCAGGGGAUCUUCGGACCUUGCGCGAUUGAAUGAGCCGAUGUCGGAUUAGCUAGUUGGCGGGGUAAAGGCCCACCAAGGCUACGAUCCGUAGCUGGUCUGAGAGGAUGAUCAGCCACACUGGAACUGAGACACGGUCCAGACUCCUACGGGAGGCAGCAGUGGGGAAUAUUGGACAAUGGGCGCAAGCCUGAUCCAGCCAUACCGCGUAGGUGAAGAAGGCCUUCGGGUUGUAAAGCCCUUUUGUUGGGAAAGAAAAGCAGCAGGUUAAUACCCCGCUGUUCUGACGGUACCCAAAGAAUAAGCACCGGCUAACUUCGUG